GCGUCCGGCGUGUGGUUGUUUCAGUUGUUUGAGCGCCUAUCGUCGGUGCUCGUGCGCAGUGUCGAUGCAUUUGCUGGUGGUGUGCGCCGGAACACCUGGUGCAGUGGCGCGAUCUCGUCUCAGAGGCCAGCGUGCUCACGCGCGUUGGAACCCGGGGCGGGGGAUGUGCCAUUUGUGCUGGGUGCGUACCGGGGAGCAAGGCUCAUGCGCGUUCGGGUCGGCGUCGAGCUGUUUGCUGGUGGCGGUCGCGUGCGACACGUGCCGGUCAGCGGUUUGGCACGGCUUGCAAUGCGCUGCUCCGUAUUCUCGGUGUAAAAGCCGGUCAUCUAUCCGACCCGUCUUGAAACACGGACCAAGGAGUUUAGCGUGUGCGCGAGUCAUUGGGCGUUGAAAACCCAAAGGCGCAAUGAAAGUGAAGGCACCCGCAAGGGGCUGACGUGUGAUCGCGGCGCAUUCGUGCGCUGCGAGCAACAUGGUCCCGUUCCAACCGCAUGCGGUGGGGCGGAGACAGAGCGAACGCGCUGAGACCCGAAAGAUGGUGAACUAUUCCUGAGCAGGACGAAGCCAGGGGAAACUCUGGUGGAAGUCCGAAGCGAUUCUGACGUGCAAAUCGAUCGUCUGAC
This 623-nucleotide ribosomal RNA is filed under the name Dolichodorus mediterraneus. Its description in RNAcentral is "eukaryotic LSU rRNA". It matches the Rfam family "Eukaryotic large subunit ribosomal RNA", at positions 551 to 910 of the family's 3401-position model. The record is from RNAcentral. Lineage: Eukaryota; Metazoa; Nematoda; Chromadorea; Rhabditida; Dolichodoridae.